UGCAGCCUUGUCAAAUUCAGUACUACCUCAUUGCUGGUAGCUACUGGCCAAUAUGGCUGCUACAGGAAUCUGGUAGCUCAUGGGCCCCUCUUUCCUUAGUGGUAAUUGGGGAUAAAAUUGUGCUACAAACAAUA
Non-coding RNA from Pelobates cultripes (western spadefoot toad), 134 nucleotides. The record is from the annotation of a GenBank genome assembly. Lineage: Eukaryota; Metazoa; Chordata; Amphibia; Anura; Pelobatidae.